Molecule: small nuclear RNA, 107 nt
Organism: Dromiciops gliroides (monito del monte)
Lineage: Eukaryota; Metazoa; Chordata; Mammalia; Microbiotheria; Microbiotheriidae
Source: RefSeq, a predicted model, not a curated record
GUGCUCACUUUGGCAGCACAGAUACUAAAACUGGAACAAUACAGAGAAGAUUAGCAAGGCCCCUACACAAGGAUGACAGACAAAUUUGUAAAGCAUGCCAUAUUUUU